GGAAGGGGUGUAUUUAUUAGAUACAAAACCAAUGCCCUUCGGGGCUCCUUGGUGAUUCAUGAUAACUAUACGAAUCGCACGGCCUUGCGCCGGCGAUGGUUCAUUCAAAUUUCUCCCCUAUCAACUUUCGAUGUUUGGGUAUUGGCCAAACAUGGUUGCAACGGGUAACGGAGGGUUAGGGCUCGACCCCGGAGAAGGAGCCUGAGAAACGGCUACUACAUCCAAGGAAGGCAGCAGGCGCGCAAAUUACCCAAUCCCGACUCGGGGAGGUAGUGACAAUAAAUACUGAUACAGGGCCCUUUCGGGCCUUGUAAUUGGAAUGAGUACAAUUUAAAUCCCUUAACGAGGAACAAUUGGAGGGCAAGUCUGGUGCCAGCAGCC
Molecule: ribosomal RNA, 381 nt
Filed under: uncultured Acremonium
Lineage: Eukaryota; Fungi; Ascomycota
Description: SSU rRNA
Rfam family: Eukaryotic small subunit ribosomal RNA
Source: RNAcentral